Molecule: ribosomal RNA, 253 nt
Filed under: uncultured bacterium
Lineage: Bacteria
Description: partial 16S ribosomal RNA
Rfam family: Bacterial small subunit ribosomal RNA
Source: RNAcentral
UACGAGGGGUGCAAGCGUUGCUCGGAAUCAUUGGGUUUAAAGGGUCCGUAGGUGGACCGUUAAGUCAGAGGUGAAAUCCUGCAGCUCAACUGUAGAAUUGCCUUUGAUACUGGCGGUCUUGAAUCAUUGUGAAGUGGUUAGAAUAUGUGGUGUAGCGGUGAAAUGCAUAGAUAUCACAUAGAAUACCGAUUGCGAAGGCAGAUCACUAACAAUGCAUUGACACUGAUGGACGAAAGCGUGGGGAGCGAACAGG